This is a long non-coding RNA of Hevea brasiliensis (rubber tree), 358 nucleotides long. RefSeq lists it as uncharacterized. The record is from RefSeq and is a predicted model, not a curated record. Lineage: Eukaryota; Viridiplantae; Streptophyta; Magnoliopsida; Malpighiales; Euphorbiaceae. The transcript is spliced from 3 exons.
GCGGUGGCUCCGGCGAGCUAUGGAGAUGGUUCAAAUUCCAGAAGCUUCCUCAUAAAUUUUUGGAAUUUUUGAGACACAGAUAAACUUCGGGUGAUCGAGAUCAACUAUUUUCCUGCAUCCAGCAGCCACAAUAGUCGACGGUGUACUGCCACAGGAGGAGUUAUUUUACAGAGCGACCUGUUUUCUUUCUCGCAGGUUUAACGUCGAUUAUUUAAUUGUAUUAUUAUUCUCUAAAUUUGUAAUUUAGGACUCCGCAUGUGCUAGUAGUAGCAUUAAGUCUGUCAGGGACUGUAUGAAUUCAAGUUUGCGUAUUAAUAAAUGAAAAGAAAAAAAAAAUUUUAUGAGUUUUAAAUGGUUA